UACUUUGUUUGGCAGAGAAUGAGUGGGCUGGCAGUGUGGUGCAGUAAGGUAGAUACAAUGACGUCAGUCAUUUCAGUUCCAGCUAUGCCCAAAUGACUUUGUACUGCUGUAUAGGAACCACUGGAGCAUCAGGUUCUUGUUUGGUUCCUACCUCCUGAAUCUGUAACAGUUCAUCUUUUACUGGAGUCCGUUGAAGUUUGCAGCUAUCCAAAGUAGGCCAGGUUCCCUAACUGGUUUUGAGCAGUAAGUUUGUUAGAUCAUCAUAACAUAAGGCAAGAGUGUUUUAUCCCUUUUUGAUGAUGACAAACUUAACAGUUAUAAAGCCAGACUUGGACAUAAGGACUUUCAGAAAACAACCUCUCUAUCACCUUGGGGUAGGGUAAGGCCUGUAUAUACACUACCCUCCCCAAACCUCACCAGUGAAAUUUGAUUAGGCCGUUGUUGUUGUAACUAAUAACUUUAUAAAUAUUAUUAUUAGUAGAAUUAUACUAAGUAUAAUAAUGUACAUUAUUUUCAUAUAUCAAAUUCUUAUUCCGACGGAUAGACCUUUUCACCAAAUUACAAGUGUAGUUAAUUCCUUAUUAUUCAAAGAAGUAAUUAUUCAUGUAAGACAUUACAUCAUAAUGUAUGAUGUGAUGUUUGUAGUUUUAUAUACGAUGAUGAACUUUUAAAGUAACACGAUAAGACAAAUAAUUAUAUUAAGACAAAAUGAAUUAAUAAACCUAUAAAAGUCAGCAAUAACUCAAAUAAAACAAUAUACAUCCAUGCAUGCAGAUGACAAUGAUUGAAUUAGUAACGUACGUAAAUUGUUCUAUCAAUUCACUUGCUAAGUGAGGCAACUUUGCUAAUGAGAUGAAAACUUGUAUGAGGAAUAUGAAAAGAAAAAGAGACACUUGUGAACAAUCACACCAUAGAAAAGAACAAUCACCUUUAGGCUUCAACCUACCAAUCACAUAGCUAUAUUUGAAACUGAUCAUACAUCAUUGACCCUCUUUUUUAUGUUCUCACACAAAUGUACACGUAAUCUAUAGGUGACAGUUUCGAAUAAUGAAAUUUGUCACUAAUUUUUUCAUUAUAGGUCAUAUGUUCGAGCUGUAAAAUCAGUUAUUGAUAUCUAAAUCACACCUUCUAAUCUUAGAGGUUUGGUUUUCUCUGACAAUGCGUGAACGUAGAAUAUUUCGUGCACCGAAUUGCUCACACCGUAUUCGAUAAAUAUAUUAGGGCCUGACUAAAUUUGAAUGCGCACAAAAUAUCUCAUAUUUUAAGGGAAAAAUAUUCAUUAACAAAAUAAUACCAUACAUAGAGCUCGGACCCGUGGAACCUCUUUAUUUUUCUUCUACAAACUCUCAUUGAUAUAUUAAGAUUACAUCUCUACCUCAAAAGGACUAUUGAGUUGACUAAAAUGAUAAUACAUAUGGAUCCUUCAACAACAAUCCAAUACACUUUUUUGCUAGUCCUUAUGGGCACAUGCUUGCAUGUGAGAAACCACAGGAACGAAUGACUUUGAUCCUUAUUUUCACAUAUAUUGCUCUUCCAAAUUAAAUCUUGUAUCAGAAUUCAUAUAUUUAGCUUCAUAUAUAUUCUGAUAAUCUGAUAAUAUAACUAUUCCUUUUACAUUGUUAAUUUAUACAAAUUAAACUUGUAUUAGAAAAAUAUUAGAAUUUGAAAAUUCCAUGCUACAACAAACUAGUCCUACAUACGUGUAGAGUGUAGACAACUUAGGAGAACAGUGUGUUAUAAACUUAUAAUCAUUAACAAAGGCGAUCUUAUGAUGUUUGGUAGGUGGCUCAAUUAAGAAUAAUAGGUUCACAAAUUUCUUUAGAUUUAAGUAUUAAUUUAUUUAUUUAAUUUCAUUUUUGGACCCACGAUUAAUAAUUAUGGACAUUCUCCAUAUUUUCUGAUUCUCCAAAAGUGGACGAGGAAAAUAAUUAUAUAUUGACAUUCUUAUUAGUAUUUGGUGAAUCAUAAAGUUCUUGAAGUACAUAUUAUUUGAGUUGACUAUUGUCUUCUUUUAUGUAACAUGUUUCCCACCGAGCAACGAGAAAAGCCAAAGACUACAAUAAAAAUAGAAAAACAAUAAUGCAAUUGAGAACAAACAAAUAAGUGAUAAUAAUGGUUAAAGGAUUCAUGAUCAUAGCACCCCUGGAAUAUAAAAAAGAUAAAUAUAUUUUCAUCCUCUUCAUAUAUACUUCAUGAAAUAAAACAAACUCGCAUUUUCAUCAAAUAAUAUAAUUACAUAUAAAAAGGAAUCAUAUUUUUUUGGGUAAUUAACAUUUUAUUAAUCAUCGAUAAUCUUUACAUUUCAUUGCCUGCUUUAUAACUCAUUAGUUAUAUCUAUCAGAACUCAAAAAAAUCAAUUUCAUCCUAUAUAUUAUGUCUAAUGAAAUAUAAAAUGUUGAACUAAACUACUAAAUCUUUUUGUAGCUCUCACAUUAUAUAUAGAGGCUAUUUCUCUAGCUAUACUAUCAACACUUCUGCUUCUCUUUUGAAAUAUUCUCAUGUUCCUUUCAAUCCAGACACCAUGGGUUACCUCUGCAUAAACUAUUCUAUACAAUUGUGCUCCAUAAGAUCUGCCCUUAGUUCUCUGUGUUAUUCAUUUUUUAUGUUGCCGCAUGUCACACUUCCUCAUUACCUACACCCCGAAAGGGUAUAACAGAGUUUUUUUCCAACUUAAAGUAACAAUCGAAACGGGAUUAUUUAUUUAUAAAUUCAAAAUCGUCACUUAGAAUAUUGUCCCAAGUCACUGAUUUUAAAUCCCGAAUAGAGGAAAGAUUAACUCUAUUUUACAAUCUACGAACACAGAAAUCCAGGUAAGAAAUUCUGUUAACCGGGAGAAGAUGUUAGGCAUUCUCGAAUUCUGUGGUUCUAGCACGGUCGCUCAACUGUUAUUAUUGGCUAUUUAUCUGAUUUUUAGAACACAUUUUAAACUUAUGUGCAUUUUAACUUUAAACCGCUUUUAAAUUAUUUUAAGGAGGAUUUCAACAUCAUCUAAAAUACGUCUUUGGACCGGCCCACAUGAAAUGCACCCGCAGUCCGAAACACAUUUUAUUUAAUAUUGUUGAGAUUUGAAUUUGGGUCACAUGAAAUACACACCCGAGUUUAGGAAGGUAAUUUUAAAUUACGCGCCUAAAGCAACUACGCAUUUUCAACUUUGCAAGGGUCAUGAAAAUUCAACUAAAUGGCACGCCUUGAUUUCUAAGGAUUAAAAUAUUAAUUAAGCGAGGGCCACACAUUUUAAGAUUUUUUCCGGCACGGCACACCUCGAUUUAUUCUCACCAAAAGAUUUCUAAAUUAGCUAAUGAGGGCCAUAAAUGACUUAACUAAAGUGGCAAGAGGUACUUAAUUAAUCUUAAGGGUCUACAAGAAAUAAAUUGUCACAAUUAAAAAAAUCGGUAUUUGGGGACCUGGGAUAAAAUCAGACCUAAGAGAAAAAGUAUGUGAAAAAAAUCACCCAAAUAACUUAACCAUAUCGACUGGGCCAAUAUUAAACCCAGCUCCAAAAAGUUCCAAAGAAACAAAGCAUUCAAACCAUGUUUCACAGGUUAUUUUAAUCACACAAAUUAUGAAGCAAGAACAUGAUACUAAAGCUGGAAUGAAUCGCCUAUAUUAUUAUUAACAUGACACUCAAAGCCCUAAUAUCAUUUAUAUUAAUCAAUCAUAACAACUCAAAAUCACACAAAACAUGUUGUUUAAGAAGGAGGAUUUCGACUAACUUCAAUUUUCAGGGCCAAAACAAACUAAAAAAUGAUUAAGGACUACUAAUAUUACUACCAUUGGUUGUGAACUGAAAAUUUUACCUUCAAAUUCCAUCAUAUCCCAAUAAUGGCUACAUGAACUAUUAUGAUUGCUGAAAAUACCCAAAUCACUACCUAGAACUUACUAAGAUGAUCAUGAUCUAUCACAUGUACACUAAAUUAAUGCUAAAUAUCCAAACCAUCAUGUUUACACAACAAAACCAAACGACUAAGCUAGAUAAAAUAGAAGUAGCAUACACGUGAGACUAUAGAUUUAACAUAUUGAACACUCAAAUUACAUCGUGAAGAACACAUUCUUUAUAGCUUCAACUUUGAGCUUCACAUACAAAAGAGUCCAAAGAGGUACCUGGAGACAGAAAAUAGAGCAAAAGAAAAGUGAGAGAAUCAGCAGCAAAAGAAGACGCGCUUCAACAGAUCAACACAACAAUUUGACUUCCUUAAACCAUUUUAACCCAGAUGAACCAGAUAUCUCAAAGUUUUGAACACUUGGACCAAUAAUGGAAAUCAAAGAACAGAGCCAAGGCAAGUUUAAAACCAAAAUACAGAAAAGGUUUUAGUCGUUCUUUUAGAGUCUGGAAAGCUUCUUCAAAAUGAAUGAAAGAGAUCCUUUUACAAGCAGUCUGAGGCAGCCCUAGCCUGACUAAAUAUUUCCUCUUUUACCCUCCCAGUUCAUGGUUAUUUUACCUCCUUAAACCCCUAACAAUAUCUAAAAAUUCUCUCUCUUUAACCAACCAGCCAAACCUUAUCCUCUAGAAGCUUCUAUGCCAACAGAAUAAUAUUUUCUAAGUUUCAAAAUACCCAGAUUAACCCUCUACCCCCUACAAAUUUACAUUAAGAAAAUCACAUGGGUCAAGUUCGCCUAAAACCCAAACCCAAAAGGAACUGGUUUCUUGAACCGGGUCGGUGGUGACCAAAACAAAGCCCACAUCCAAAACUUAUAUCAAACAAUUAGGCAUUUGAAAUUCAAACUCUGACCCAAACUACACUAUGGGUAAAUUGAAGAGAAAAAACAAAGAAGAAAGGAGCUGGAAUAAAGGAAAAUAAUUUUGAUGAUCCUUAAUAAGCUGAGCAAUAGUUCAAAAUUAAUGACUAACCCGGCCAAAAUAAAAAUCAAAUAGCAAAAUCAUGAUGAAACAAUUAAUCCUAAUCAUGCAUCCAAAUAGUUAGAAAUGUUGAUUAUAAGUAAACAAAAACUAAUUCACACCAAACAAACAAGAAUCUGAAAGACGGGCACAAUAAAGGAAGAAGGAAUGGUACUGGUUUUAACCAAAAUAAAUUGACGAAGGCGACGAACUUGGUGGGCGUCCAUGGUAUGGUCGCAGACUGGUAAUUCCCGGAGGGAGCCAAAACUACCUAAAUCCAUUGUUCUGAGCGAUAACAAUCAACUAACGUAAGUCUUGAGUCAAAUCAGGCCUCGGAGACAUGAAAAUUGACGUUAGGGAUGACUUAGAUUUUUUGAAUUCUCAAAUUUAGAAUUGAAGAGAGAAGGUGGGGAUUCUGGGGAAUCUCGUGUUGCCUUCAAGUUCAAUGGGGUUUAUGGGUUGUGGGGGAGGGAUUUGAAGGUAUUUGGUAGUGGUUUGAGGGUGGCGCCGCCGGCUCGAUGCGGUGGAAAACUAAGGCGGCUCUAGGGUUUGAGCGUCUCUGAAAGUGAGGGGGUGAGAGAGACGAGUGAAAAGGGGGGUUAGGGAUUCAGACACUUAAGUAUUAAGGACAAACCAGUUCCAAC
Molecule: long non-coding RNA, 5481 nt
Filed under: Nicotiana benthamiana
Lineage: Eukaryota; Viridiplantae; Streptophyta; Magnoliopsida; Solanales; Solanaceae
Description: long non-coding RNA (NBEN_LNC040855)
Source: RNAcentral